This 745-nucleotide long non-coding RNA is filed under the name Lathyrus oleraceus (garden pea). RNAcentral describes it as "Pisum sativum (pea) long non-coding RNA (PSAT_LNC011437)". Lineage: Eukaryota; Viridiplantae; Streptophyta; Magnoliopsida; Fabales; Fabaceae. The record is from RNAcentral.
UGGAGGUGAUGAGAAGGGUAUCAACUGCGAUGUUGUCGGUAUUAGUUUGAAGGUGGUGUUAGGAAGAUGAAGAGGUUUGGGGCUGACGAAGGGUUUUGAGAAUGAAGAGAGAUUUUUUUCUUUUUCUGAGUGAUUGUGAGAGAGGAUGAAGGGUGAGGUCGUGAGAUUUCGUGAGGAUUUUUGCAGAGUGAUUUUUGAGGUAUUUGAGUGGAGGGAGCAUGAGAUAAAGAGAGAGAGGGCGCGUGGAGGGAAGAGAGAGGGUGGAGAAUGUAACGUGUGUGUGAGGGAAGAGAGAGAUCUUUUUUCAGAUUUUGUGAGGUGAGUGGAUGAGGUUGAGGGACACAUGGCGAAUAGAGAGGAGAAAGACGUUGGAGUGAAUCUCCAAUGGAUUCUUAUUAUCUAUUUAUUUAUUUAUUUUAUUUUUUUUAUUUUAAGAAAAGAGAAUCCAAUGCUAAUAUUUUUUAAUACACUUAUAAUUCACUUAAAUACAUAAAACAUUAAUUGAAAAAACUAAUUAACAUUUGAUUUAAAUAAAUUUUAACUAUUUUACUUAUCUAACUAACCAAAAAUAUUGAUCCAUUAAAAAUAGAAAUCGAAUGCAAAUUUGUGCGGAAAAUUAAAUCAAUCACACCAAAAUUAUCAGCACAAAACACAUUAUUUGAAAAAUACACUGUUUCCUCAAAUUUUAACGAUUCAACUGAUUUGUCCGUAUUCUCAAAUAAAUUCAUUCUGACUGACGUUCUAG